RNA transcript from Calidris pugnax (ruff), 2016 nucleotides. It is a transcript of the gene named triggering receptor expressed on myeloid cells 2-like, with no coding region annotated. NCBI's taxonomy places the organism in Eukaryota, Metazoa, Chordata, Aves, Charadriiformes, Scolopacidae. The record is from RefSeq and is a predicted model, not a curated record. The transcript is spliced from 5 exons.
AGGGGGGAAAAGCAAACUGCUCUUGGGCAAGAGCCCUUUUCAAUUUUCUCCAGACUCUUCUCUUGUCCCCUUCUCUGCUCAGCUGACAUGGAGAAGCUCAUGCACCUCAUCUUCUUCGUCUUCUUAUCAGCACCCUGUGCUGCAGAGAACGUCACUGUGGUGUAUGGGAUAGAGGGGGGCACCAUUUCUGUCAACUGCACCUACAACCCCUGGCAGCAGCGGUGGAGAGAAAAGAGCUGGUGCAGGCUGAUCAACAAGACCAGCUGCCAACACGUGGUGAGUGCCCGACGCUUCUGGCUGCCGUUCCUAAAGAACAGGAAUGGCACCACCUCCAUCAGUGACAAUGUCCACGAAGGGGUCCUGACAGUGACCAUGAAGCGACUCAAGAAGGAGGACGCGGGGCUGUACCAGUGUAAAAGUGACUACCUGGGGGAAACAAAGAGCUUAAGGAAGGUCCAAGUGGAAGUGCUGACAGCUGUCCUGGAGACCCAAAUGCCAGAGGAGCCGAGGGCUGUGCAGGGCAUCUCCAGCAUCCCUCCUGAAGCUGAUUUCACUGUCCUCUAUAUCAUUGCUGGAUUCCUGGUUACUAAAUUUGUGGUGGCUGUGCUGAUCUUUAUCAUUGGCAUGAGCAGGAAGAACAGAGAAACAGAGCAGAACCCAAAUGAGCACCAAGUCCUCCCUUUCGCUGGUAACCUUGCACAUGGUGGCAUGAGCCCCUCCUGGGACAGCACUGCUUAGAGCUAAACCAAAGGGAAUCCCCAGGGAAAUGAACACGAAGCAUCCACAGGCAAAGCUUCACCACCUGCCGUUAAAAAAAGAUUAUCUACUAAACACAGGCAUCAAUGAACCCAUCACUCCAUCUAGAGAGGGAACGUCACCAGCUACCACCUCUUCUCAUUGGUGCUGACCAACCUUUUCCAACACAACUGAACUGAGAAGAUGCUGCCAGUAAUACCUGAAACUAAUGGAAGAGGAUGGGAUUGGGGGCUGGGGGAAAGGAAGAAAACUAAAUCUUUCUGUUAGGAGAUCCAGCACAGACUUAUCUAUGUGCGGAGAUGCUUCCCCAGGCAUGUACAGGUGAGAGCCCUGCUCAGUUUCCCUCUGGCUCAUUGCUAGGCCAGAAAAAAAACUUCGCUGCUCUGUACAGCUACUGGCAAAUUCUGUGUUAUAAAUAAAACUACAGACACACCAGUGAACACAAGCAGAAAUUCAGGUAACACAUCUCAACCACCAUAUCUUGAGCAACUCACAAACACAGACACCAAAUGGAAAGACAUGGUUCUGUCUCAAAUCUCCACGAAACUUCUCCUGAUUCAUUGAAGAUCAGUGUUAAAGAACUUUUGUCAAGGUCUCCCAUGUGACUCAAAUGCUUCCCCCAAAAGCAUGGAAUAUAACCAGAACUAGAUGGUUUGUAUUGAAAGCUAGUAGUAUUUGUCUAGAAAUCAGCUUUUUAACUGGGACUCCACUCUCUAAAGACUGAAGUUUUGACACACCUUUGGCAAUGCAAUGCUCUGCUGUCAUCUCCAGUCACUGCCAGCAGCUGCACCACACCACCAGGCAGUUAUUCCAGAUAGGCAUCCCCAGUAUCACACCACCAGGGUCUGAACUAAGACCCAUCAACUUCAUGUCAUCUCGGAGCAGUGCCAGGUGAGACAUUAUGUCUUUCCAUGGUGAGGAAGACUAGCUCCCCAAAAUUGCCUUGGACAGUGUGGAUCCUCGGUGAACAGUCACUGUGGAAAGGCAUAAGGGACUUGAGAACCUAACAGAAAGGAACGUGAAGUCUACGUGCAGCUCUGAACUUGCUUCCUCAUUUCUCAAAUGAUUUUGCAAACAAAGAAUGAACUGCCUCUGUAUUUCUCCCUGUGUUUUUUCUGCCCUCUCAAGAGGAUGUUACCAACAUGUGAUCAUUAUUCAUCAAUCCCCAAAGUGAAGCUGGAUUUAGCUCUCCCAGGAAGACCCCAAACCUAAGGGCAUUCACACUUCUUUUCCUUAUACUGCCUGCAAAGCUAAAUAAAA